Caenorhabditis elegans is the source of this 362-nucleotide non-coding RNA. The record is from Ensembl. Lineage: Eukaryota; Metazoa; Nematoda; Chromadorea; Rhabditida; Rhabditidae.
UGACAAAUGGUUUUCGAUGUAACAUUUGAGCCAUCUUUCCUGCUUCAACUGCUAACACUUAUGAAGGUAAUCAAGUGGCAACAAGCACCUCAAGAGUAUAUCACGGAAUUAAUGAGGUGGCAAGCAGCACGCCGCCGACAAUCAGAAAUUGCCUCGCAAGCCUGCCCCCCUGAGCGUCUGUGUGAGCCCCAUAUGAGUUUUUAGUGUCAGAACAGGCAAUAAAAAGAAAAGAAGACACACGCGGUAGAUGGAAGAGAAAGAGGAAUGACAAACAAGUUGUAAAAUGCAAACAAGGAUAUCAUGGAAAUAAAAAGGUGCCGGAUGAAUUCCAAUAGCACUGUAACAUCUGUUUCAUCCUUUAA